RNAcentral lists this long non-coding RNA (23493 nucleotides) under Cucumis sativus (cucumber). Its description in RNAcentral is "long non-coding RNA (CSAT_LNC002348)". The record is from RNAcentral. Lineage: Eukaryota; Viridiplantae; Streptophyta; Magnoliopsida; Cucurbitales; Cucurbitaceae.
UAUUGUUUUAGGUCUGCGACAUUAAAAACAUAAUGAAUGUGUAAGUCUGGUGGUAGUUCUAUUUUGUAAGCAUUAUCUCCGAUCCUCUUUAGGACACGGAAUGGUCCUAAUUGUCUGUCUUUUAGUUUGUUGUAUGUUUCGGUUGGAAAUCGAUUUUUUCUUAGGUGAAUCAUUACUAAAUCUCCCUUGGUAAAGGUAGUUUGUCUUCUUUUUCUGUCUGUUGCGUCUUUGUAGGACUGAGUUGUUUCUUUUAGGUGAUUGUGGACUUCUUCGUGUAAAUUCUGGAUUUUUUCUAUCAUCUUUUCUGCCUCUGAUAGUUAGGGAACUCAACACAUUUUACUUGACCUAACCAAGAUGGCUCUUUGUAUGUAUAUUGCAUGUGUUGUUUGUUUUUUUCUAUAGCUCUUGAUUGUCUCACUUUUUUACGUUUUGCAUUUGCAAUUCUCUUUUCUUUCUUUGGUAUGCAAUGUGGUAACAAGGUCUUGCUAGAACCGGUGGGCUAACCUUUCUAUGGUUCUAAACUUAGUUUCUAAGUUUGACUGCUCCCUUCGGAGUGACAACAAGCCUCGUUUUUCUCCCUACUAUGGAACGGGGAGGAUUCAUUUUCUUUUCAAAGCCCUCGUCAAACUCAAUGCUAAGUUUGACUGCUCCCUUCGGAGUGACAACAAGCCUUGUUUUCCCCUAAUGUGGAUCGGGGAGGAUUCCUUCUCUUUUCAAAGCCCUCAUCAAACUCGAUGCUGUGUUUAGAACGCUAAGAGUAGGUGGUCUGGUUUUGGUUAGGCCAAAAGUGAAGUUUUCCCCCAUUUUUUAUGGGCUUUUUCUAAUGUAUAUUGGAUAUGUUGUUUGAUUUUUUUUAUAGCUCUUGAUUGUCUUACUGUUUUAUGUUUUGCAUUGUCAAGUCUCUGUUUUCUUUCUUUGGUAUGCAAUGUGGUAACUAGGUCUUGCUAGAACCGGUAGGCUAACCUUUCUAUGGUUCUACAUUUAGUUCCUAAUUAAGUUUGAUUGCUCCCUUCGGAGUGACAAUAAGUUUUGUUAAUGUCGACCCUUUUCUAAAGGGAUUUAGUUCACUGUGGCUAGGCAAGAGGUUUCUAACUCAUGUUUGACAAGACAAAUUUGUUAAAACCAUCUUAGUUUCUAAAGAGUGCCUCCUAUCCCUUUUUUACUCUAUCUAGGCUAGGUUUGGACUAAGUGCAUCAUAGGUAAGUCACGACAAAGCAACAAAGGAAGACAAAGCUAGAAAAGUAUUCAUGCACUUAUUUAUUAUACAUGCAAUCAAGCAUUCACAACAUACAUACCAUUUUCUCAAUCAUGCAUUCACACCUCAAUAAGAAAUAGCUAAAAGGAGCUUACAACAAAAAAGACAGCCGCUUAUUCUCAAAUUUCAGCACAUAUACUCAUCAAAAUUUAGAAUUUCACAUUGCAAACCCGAGCUCAGUGCUCAAGGGUUGCCAAUCAUGCUUUUUAUGCAAGAUCUAAUUAAGCUAAGAAGGUAUAAUGCUCAUUUUGUAUGGAAAGAAUUCUGAAAUUUUUUUUAAAUUUGGGCAAAAUUUGAACCCCGAAGUUUAGACUAAACAUGCAAGCUAAGCAAGCUAUUACCCACACCCACUCAAAAAAUUGCUUUGUCUGUCCUAAAAGCUUUUGAAAAUCAAAGUAAAUGGAGAAAAAUAAGGGGGAACUUUGGACUCCCCUAGAAGGAUCGACAUCCUUGACUUUGGUUUGAAGCUUGCAUGGAUAAACCUUUUCAUUCCUUUUUAAUUGAUUAUUCAUCCUUGUUCCUGAAAAUCAAAGGAAAUUCUCUCAAUUUUAUAUAUUACUAAAAUUAGGAUACAUAUAAGUCUUAACUAGUCUAAUAGCACCCUCCAUUCAUCUUCCCCUACACUGGCUAUGGUAUCAAAAUUUUCAAUUAAGUAAUACGUCUACUAACGAACUUGAAAACAAAACACAUCACACUAAAAAACACAAACAUCACUUUAACCCAACAGAAGCUGCUCUUUUUACCCUUGCACUCACUAUCACAUUACUAUCAUGUUUGUCAACUGUCAAACUAACUCUUUUAAGUUAUUUAGUGUGACUACAAAGUUAUGAACACCAUAAUCUUAAUUAAAACCUUUUAAUAAACAAAUGCCAAGUUACUACUCAACAAUGGCAAGGAAUUCAAAAAACAUGACUGUAACGACCCAACUUUUCUAGGUAAGUCGAAGUCAUUAAUUUCAAAUAAGGACCUGAGUUUACACAAAAUCUCAAUCUCAAACAAUUUCAAAGUCUCAAGAAAAACAAAAAUUUAUACCUGGGCCCGGUUUAAAAUAACCAGCACCUUCAAGACAAAUUUACUAAUUCGUGAAUACAGUUCAACUAUAAAAUUUUCUAAACAAUCUCAAGUACUAAACAAAACACGUGAAACAAAACAUUUAGCGGAAGCAAUUUAAAAUAACCCCUAUGGCAAUCACGCUUCCUUUCUGCCCCUCGUCGGUUUGCCGUCUUUAUUACCUUUGCCUGAAAAUUAAACAUAAGGAGGGUGAGUAUAAAAAUACCCAGUACGAGACCCUCUACUGGUCCCGUCAGGGGAAAAUAAAUUGUUAACAUUCUAUUGGGACACCCUGUACAGUCACAGUCUUGUGAUCCCGUAGGAGGCACAUUUCAGUCUAACGCCCCGAGGGACGUACAUUUCAGUCUAGUGUUCUGCAGAAACACAUAUCAGUCUAAUGCUCUUGAAGGUGCAGAAUAAUUGGUGAUCCGUGUGACACCUACAAGGCACACAUCCCAAUAAAAGCUAACAAUUUUUCCCCUCAGUCCAUUCUAAACAUCUUAACAGUCAUUCACAGAUCAGUUAAACAUUCUCAUCACGUAAACUCUUUAUUUAACCUCAAACAGUCGUCUUACUCUAGUUUAGUCCAAGGUCAAUAAAAAAACAUAUCAUUACAUCAGUUAACAAGCUAAACAAUCAUAACCUCCUCCUCAGUCACCAAGGGCACCACCAUGACGUUUCUUCCGUUCACAAGCACACAACAUAACAGUAGAUUAUACACUCAGUCUAGACAACAAUCAAUCUACUAAUCAAAUCCACACUUUAUAUAAGCAACAUCUACGAGAUUCAGUCGUUUCCACAUCCUUAUCUUUGUACACAUACAUAACUAGACAGUCACAACAUAUACUCAACCACAGUCUACAUCAAUCCAUGCACAUAUAUGUAUUAAUUUCUCCCAGUCAAACAUAGCAAACAUUAAACUUUAAGUCAAUGCCCAAACAUACAUCAUAACAGUCAUCUCUACUCAGUUCAAAUCAAUACAUCUUAAUUAGUCAUUAUAUAUUAAUUUUGUUGUUGAGUCUAGUAGAAAAUCCCUUACUUUCAAGUUAGUUAAGCUCCUUAACCACGUUGAAGUCUACGAAGAACGAACCUAAACAUUAAGACAAUUUCUCAAUAAUUCUCUUCAACGCAUCAAUCAUUUAAAUUCAACCCAAUGUGAUUUUUUUUUUACAACUUACCCAAAUCUUCACAAAACGAGUUCCAACUAGAAUCAAUUGUUUGCUGCGAACCCAAUGAAUUCGAGUGUUACCUUCAACCUAUAAUCGAACAGUAAACUAUUUAUCCAACCAAUUAAUCCAGCAAUAUUACUUGAGUUUAUUUUGGAAACAGUUACAAAUUUCAUAACUUCAAUCUUACCAAUCAAAAUUUAAUGACUCGUGGCAAAGCAGGAACGACAGCGAACAACCCAAUCGAAUGGCGUGGGUUUGCUACCUGCGGCAGGACGAAGAAGGAACUCGACGCGCAGAAAGUUGGAUCUGGGGUCUUUAGUUCGGUUCACGGUAGCGAAUUAAAACCUGAUUGCGCGGACGUCAAAGGUGUUAUUCGCGGAAGAAGUCGAGCAGCAGCUUUGCGAAGAGACGACGUGCGACGGAGAGACUGUAUACAGACGGACGGAGAGUCGCGCGGCAGUGCAGAAAACGGAGGAGAAAGGAAUGGGCGGCGGCUGGGCUUGGCUUCGACGGAGACAGAGGCGAUUAGGACGGGGCACGGCGACGCAGAUCUGGACGACGGCGCGGAGACAGAGGUUGCGCGGCGCUGGGCAGAGGGUCAAACGGCGCUGGGCGAAGGGUCACACGGCGCUGGGCGGAAGGUCACACGGCGGCCUUGCUUCGCGAACAGAGAUGGCGGCCGACGGUUGCAGCGGCGGCUGGGUAUGGUAGAAAAGAAAGAGAAACGGAAGAAGAAUAGGGGCGGCGACCGUGGAUCGGAGAAGAAAAGAAGGAUGAAAGCGAUGGUGGUCGGUUGGAGGGUGCGGCUGGAGGUAGGGAUCGGUGAAGGAGAAAAUAGAAAAAGAAAAUGAAGGGGAAAUGGGGGUUGCGCGCGGGAGGAAGAAGAAAGGAAAAAAAAUUCUUUUUUUUUUUUCUUUUCUUUUAUUUAAAUUAAAUAAUAAAACUAAAAUAUAAAUAAAUAUAUAUAUAAUUAUAUUAUCACAUUUUCAAAUCUUCUUUCUCCCCCUUCAUCAUAUUUUCUUCAAAAAAAUAAAUCUUGUACAAAUCGAAUAAUUUUCUUAAAAUAAAUUACCUUCGAGUUUGGGGCGUUACAAUGACAGCUAUAUUGUAACUUGGCACUUGGGGACUUUAAUGGUGUCAAUAUUGUAACUUCUGGUGCCAUGACAAAUAUUGGUGACUGUCAAGAUAAGUUCGCAUAGCCACCGAAAGAUACAUCGUUGCUUUUGAAGAAUGACAAGACUCUAAAUGAUAUAUGCAGCAUUAUUUUGGUUAUAUCCAAUCUUCUUUGAAGGCUAUGUACUUGAAGAUUUUAAUCAAUAAAUAAAAUGAAGUUUAAUUUUUAAAAUAAUAACAUUACAAUGGGAUGGCGAUUGGAAUUGAUUACUUUGGUUAAAAUUUAAGAUUAGAUUAAAAAAAUCAAUUAAUAGAUAAUUCCAUCCAAUCAAAAUAACUAAAUAAAAGACGAGAUUUGAAAAUAUAAUAUCCUAAUAGACACUAAUAGACUUAUAUUAAUAGAUAAUUUCCUGCCGAUGAAAAAUUACUAAAGUUGUACUAUAUUUUAUAAAUAUUUCAAAACAUUACAUAAACACUAAUUAAAGUUGGGUUUAGUAGCAAAAGGUUACAAAUUUAUUGACACCUUUUUUAGGAAAAAAAAUACCUUGACAUGAUGUAAACUAAAUUUGUAAUCAGCAUUGAAAUCUUUACUAUACUAAAUGGGCUCGUGGAGAAAAAAUUAUAUACAUCUAUUUUAUUCUUAAAUUGUCGAAAAAAAAUUAUAUUACCUUUUGUGAUCUAACGUAGUUGUGACUUUUAUAGUGUAAGUGUCCAUUUUAAUGUUUGGAAAGAUGAUUUUUCCAAUUUUUUAGUUUACAAAAUAAAGUUCUAUAUUUCAUAAAAUAAAACCUUAUGUUGAAUAUAUGUAACUAAUGUUGAUAGGAUGUGAUUGGUUGAUCUUCAAGAUACGAUGCAUUCUGUUUAGAGUGGAGAUGGUUGCACACACAUCAAAUUGGUGCAUUGAUUCCUCCAAAUUUACAUGUGAAAUGUAAAUGUAAAAGAAAAACAAAACAAACUCUUGCAGUUACACAUUAGGAAAAAAAAACGUCACGAAAUUCCAAAGUUCAAAAGAAAACAAACAUACACAGGGAUUUAAUUGAUUCAAAGUAGUAACAAAUGGUGAAAAAAUGCAUAAUUUGUUGUGAUUUCACAUUAACAUGUUAGAAUAAAAAAUUAUCGUAUUCUAUAUAUUACAAUAUUGGAUCAAAUAUUAAUACAUUAAUUUAAUUAUUUAAUUACUACAUCAAUGAAUUUCUUUUUCUUUUUUAAAUAAUAAUUUUACCAUUAAUAUUAUAUAAUAUUUGUUUAUUAUAUGCUAAAGCAUAUUUAAAAAUUAAAUAGAAUUAAGAGAUUUCACGUGAAUUUAUGCACAUGUUUCAACUGAAAAGAUGGAAACAAUAGUCACAAAUUAUUUUUUCCUAAAACAAAACAUUCGUAACCAAAUCUAAAUAUGCACUUUCAUAACUAAGGACCAAAACUCAUAUUACGUAGAAUUGAGCAUGGUUUAAAUGAAAUUAUUAACAAAAUACUUACACUUUAAACCAGGUUUUUUGGCAACAUACAUAGUGAGAAAAUUCCAAAUUUACCCUCUUACUUGUAUCUUUUCAAUAAAAAGUGCAUCUUAGUUGUAAUUAUGUCAAAAUAAAAAUAAAAAAAUAACUCGUCAGUUAACGUGGUUAUUCAUUAAUUGAUUUGGGUGAACUUUCUGAAGAUAAAAAUAACAAAAACAAACAAACAAAAGACUAGAACAUGUUAUUUAAUUAUGUAAUUACAACUUCCCUUUCUCCUCCGUGAGAAAAAAAACCAUUUCUCUAAAUUUCAUCUAUAUAUGUGUAUUGAUCAAAUGACCCAUAUCAAUAAGGACACAAAAUUGGCAAAGAACAAAUAAAUUAAAAUGGACAAUAACUCUUGUUUCAUUACUUUCUCUCUCAUUGGAGUUCUUUUGUUCACCAUCAUUUCAAAUGUGGCAUCAUCUAACGACGUUGUUUCUACCAUCUGUUCAGAAAUCUCAAAUCCACAAUUUUGUUUAAGUGUGUUGAAAUCUGCAGGCACUACAGAUCUAAAAGGCUUGGCUGUAUACACCUUAAACCUUGCUCAUUCAAAUGCUGGCAAAUCUUUGAUCCUAGCCAACUCACUAGCAAAAGCCACCACCAAUCCUCAACUUAAGCAACGAUAUUCAUUUUGUGCUGAGAGCUAUGAUGAAGUUGUUGGUGACAUUGAAAAUGCUCAAAACGACUUGGCACUUGGGGACUUUAUUGGUGUCAUUAUUGCAACUACUGGUGCCAUGACAACUCUUGGUGAUCACUGUCAGAAUAAGCUCUUGCAGCCGCCGAAGGAUACAUCGUUGCUUUUAAAGAAUAGCAACACUCUAGAUGAUAUAUUUAGCAUUAUUAUGGUUAUAUCCGAUCAUCUUUGAGGGUUAUGUACUUGAACAUUUUGAUCAAUAAAUAAACUGAAGUUUAAUUUUUAAAAUAAUAUUACAAUGUGAUGGUGAUUGGAAUUGAUUACUUACUUUGAUUAAACUUGAGAAGAUAAAGAAAAUCAAUUAAUAGAAACGUUCACCGACACACAUUGUCAGCACGUCGGAGAAAGCCUAAACUUUUUUUUCUUUUCUUUUACGUUCUGUUUUCUUUUCUUUGUUUGCCAUCAUCAUCGUCAUCUUCUUCUUCUUCUAGCUUCUUACGUUCUGUUUCAAUUGCAUACUUCUGUUAUUCUUGUAAUUUCUUCGUGGUUUUCUUUUUAACUUUGUGUUUCAGUGUGGAUUCAUAAACACAUUUUUCAGUGCUCUGGAUUCUGGAUCUGUUAUGAUUUGAAAGGGUACAGUGAAGUGAAAAGUUGAAAUGGAAAAGAAAAAAAAGAAGAAAAGAGGACACUUCUCGCGGUGGUGGCGGCAAAGACUGACGUCGACGACAACACAACUCUCCUCCUCUCCCUAUAUCUCGGCCGAUUUUGGGUUUAUUUUCGUUUUGCAUUCUGUUAUGUGUAGAAGGGAGAAUAAAUAGUGUGGACUUUCCCCGACAUCUUCGAAAACGUUGGGAAAUUUACCUUUUCGCCGACGUAUGUAGUACACACGUCGGAGAAAGUUUAAAUAAUAAAUUCAUUAUUUAAACUUUCCCCGACGUACUCCUGUCAUACGAGUCUAAAUUAAAUUUAAUGCGUUCUCCUUCGGCGAUGUGUGUCAAGGUGACGUUGGAAAAAGUUUAAACACUAAUGCAAUUAUUUUAAAUCACAUAUGUUAUCGCUUAUAUGGCAUAAGAGUCUAUUAACGAUAGAAAUCUAUCUUGAUAGGUUUUGCUACAUUUACAAUUUUUAAAAAAUAUUCUUAUAUACUUAACUAUUAUUCCUAAAAUUGCUAACCCAUUAUACUUACCCUAAGUUAAAUGUAUAAUGUCAAAAGUAAGUUUACUACGAAGGUAAUCUAUGUGACCCUUUUAUCCUAACGUAGGAAGUUUGUUCCACUCCAUACCAUUAUUGAACUAAAAGGAUUAAGUGUGUAUUAAUAUGUUUAAACAAGUAUAAUUAUAGCAAAAUCUAUAAGUGAUAUAUUGAUAUUAGCAAUACAAUACGCGUCACAUAUGCAAACAUUUUGUGUCUAAUCGUUGUAUUUACAAUUAACUCCAUUAAAAUAUUACAAAUAGAAAUAGAACUCUUUAAUCUAUGUUCAGUUAGGAUCACAAACUACAAAAUGAAAGCAUGGAACAAAUUUAAUUUUUUUUUUCUUUAAAGGAAAUUUUGUGUGUAGCACAUUAUAUUUUUUUCUUUCCUUUAAAAAACAUUAUUGAUCUUAUGAUAUUUGACAUAUAUUAUAUUUUUUUAAGAAUGUAAAUAAUGUAAAUAAUGUGCCAAAUAAUUGAAAACAUGUUAUCCAAAACAGAGAAUGGUUAAGAAAUUGUUGACAUUUAGUCAAAUUAAUAAAUAAUUCAAAAUUGUGUUUGAUUUUUGAAUUUGAAAAGAUAGUAAAUUAGAAGUGUUUUGAAAUAGUAUUUACGAGAAGAUUUUUAAUUUUAAAUAGCAUUAUAGUAGCUAUGGAUGGUUAUAUAAUAGUCUACACAAUCUUUGUCACAAAUGAUUAAUUCGAUUUUUUAAAUCAAGUCUAAUGUUUUUUUUUUUUUUUUUUGCCUAUUUCUUACCAUAAUUUACAUUUUUUGUAAGUAUAAUGGUUGAAUGCAAAAAGAGAGCUGACUAGUAAGUGCAAAAAGAGAUCUCACAAGCUUCUGCAAAAGCUAAUCAAGCAACCCAAAUCAUAAACGAGGAGAAAAGUUGAUUGGUUAAGCUUUGUUGUAGUAAAGAAGUCAAAGUGAACAUGGAACGUUCUUCACUCUCAAAGAACAUCGCCAACAUAUAGAUUAUAUACUUUUUCUGGUAUUGACCCAAAAAACACAAUCCAAGUGUAUUUUUGGUGAGAUGCAUAGUUUAACUAAACCGUGUUAUUACAAAAUUUUUAAUUACUAGGAACUCCUAAUGAAACGAAUACAUUAUUUUUAUAAUUACGAGGUAAAAUGGAAACAUACAAACUACUAAAAAAAGUUGCAAUUCGAUUAUUGGGAUUCAAUCUACUCUCCAUGAAUGUUCUUGAAAUGAGAGUUUUUAAGCAGCUACAACUUGCUUAUGUAUAAAAGCAAAACCCUUCUCAACGCCUACCUUCAGUUUUGGCUUUAGAGCUUCAAGUGAUUUUUGCCCCUACUCAGAUAAACCCUGAAGAUCAGAUGUUACAAAGGCUUCAAUUCCACAUGCAAAAAUCAUGUUCAUGAACCAAAAGCACCUUAAGCUUCUCUUCGAUAUCUUUGAGCUCACUGGAUAAAGAACUGAUUUCUAAAGCAAUCAUCUCUACCAUAUCCUCAUCGUUCCCACUGUCUUUUAAUAAGGUUGGCAUGAUAAUCACAACAAAGAAGAAGAAACUAAGAUCAAUUUAACAAAUUUUAUGUUGGGAAACUUUUUUAAGAACAACUACUUAUAAACCAACCUUAGCUUUGGCCUCACAUUCCUUGAAUUUUCUAAAAGUAGAUACCACCUGUCCGGGCAACCCACACCAACCAACCAAGAGUAAGUUAGUGUGAAAGACACUUAUUUAAUGAAGAAUAUGUAAAAGAGGUCAUUCCAACUGUUACACAUAAUAGUAUUGGAGGCAGAUAACCUUGCCAUACCUCAUCAAGUUCUGAUAUUGAUUGAGCUAGUUUUUGAUACUCUGUGGGGUUUGAGACAAUAUCUGGAUUGACCAGCUUAACCUAAAUAAUAAUAUCGAUAGUGAUUAUUGUGUAGGAAAAUAUUAAAGCUAUAACCAAAUCAAAAGCAUAAUUGGAAAUACAUCAAAGAUGUAAAUGCAAAUUUCAAAAGUGGAUCUACAGAAUGUAAGGGGAAGAAACUCAAAUAAAAUUACUUUAUUAGUUAUACGACUACUAUAGAGAUUCCAGAUACACCACAGUUCCACGUCCUCUUUCAGGAGGAAAGCAAUGGUUAAAAAUUAAUUGUGAAAACUAAAGAAGGUCCUGUUCAAAUCCUAACAGCAAUAGGAAAGCAAGGAGUUAUAAGGUGAUCACUAUAGCCAAAUCCAAAAUGCAUUCAAUAUUUGUCUUCCAAUUUCAUUAUCAAGUGCAUAGGCAAGGUCCCUAGUGAGGAAGUUAUUCGUUCUUUUCUUCAUUUUCUAUAGCUCUAGAAGUAGCUAAAUGGAAUCGUCAAGCACCUAAUCUAUUAAUUUUAAAACUCAAAAGUUCACCGCGGGAUUCUAGUCACUGCUGAAACAACAUAGAGUUCACUAGUUCCACAGUUAAAUUAAUUGCAAAUUGCAUUUCCUGGCAUUUUCAAGAAAAAAAAAAUGCACAAAUCAUAAUAUGAUGAAGUAGAAAAAUUUUGUGAGCUCGACUUUUCCAGGACAUAUCUUAGCUACUUCUCCUAUUCCAGCUCGAUAACCAUUGUACUUUAACAAUUGAAACAUUAAUCCAAUAGUUAACAAUGUUCUGCACUUUAUGCCCUUACAUUUCCAACAACUUGAUGCAUACAUCAGUAGUUAACACAGGCACGAGCUCUUAAAUUCAAUGCAAAAUAACAGUCCCAUUCCAAGCAUAGACACCAAAUACAAACAAUUGAUGGACUUGAAUCAGUGAAGAAAUAAGAAUGUCAUUUAACAGCAAAGCACAAAUUACCGAUAAUUUUUUCCACGUCUUCUCAGCAGAUUCCAAUUUCACGAUCAAAUAAGGUUCCUAAAAUAAAGCAAUCACCAUCAUCAUUUUCCACAAAUAUGAUUCGAACUAGUUUUACCACAAAUUAAUUUCUAGUAACUUGAAGAAAAACUCAGUGAACUCAAAGCAUAACGAAACUCAAGUUCUGUUAAAGCCAAUCCGAACAAUAAGAUAUAGACAUAUUGUGUUCUCGAAAGAAAAACAUUCAAUAAAUCUAACAGCCAUGCAAAUUAGAGUUGAAGCUCUAAAGGGAGGUGCAAAGCAUUUAAGUUCCAGAGAGCAUCUUCUGAAGGCGAUGAGCCCAUAAGAUGAAAAAAAGGCCUCAAGUGAGGAAGAAAGACGCCAUCCAAACAUGAAAAAAGGAAGAAAGGCAAGAUUUUGGUAGCUCCAGACCUGAGGGAAGCCAACAAGGUGGCGAGGGAGGCAAGGCCCCAAAGUUUAGCAUUGCCAGCAAAGUGAAGGUAGAGAAGGACCUUUCCUUUCGACGUGGCCCUCCGAGAGUUUAUGGACGCCCCAAUUGGGGCGUUUGGAUGGAGUAAGUUCUUCAAGGGACUUCCAAGAUUCGAUGGAGGUUGUCAAGAAAUUCUACGCAUCAGAUUACAACCACUACAAGGAAUUUCAGAUCAACCAACACAAUUUAACACUAUUGGGAGAAUCCACGAAUUCUUGGUCAAGUAGAAGAACCUCCAUGUGGAAGAAACAAAUUGUGAACGUGUCGAAGACCUUGAAGUGUGGAAAUGGAAGAUCAAAGAGUUCCAGCUUCGCCAGUCGACAGGGACGUCAACUGUUUAAGUAGGGGAGAAUGUCAAGAGCAUGCUUGUCCAAGGCAUUGUUUGCCCAUGGCCGCAUGGCCGAACAUCCUCAAACCGCCUUAUAUUUAUGUCUUAUACUUAGUUUAGCCAUUUUGUUUCCUUUUGUUGUCGCCGACCUAGGGUGUGACGUUUCAAAAUUUUCAUAUGCAAGUCUGUCAUAGCUAAAAAUGUUUAAAAUGUACUAUAGGGAAGACAUAGUAGUUGAAUCCCUGACCAAGCCUUGUUGCACUCUUUGCAUUCUAAUCUUUCUUUGCAAUUAACAGUCUUCAAUGCUUUCUUUAACGAUGUUUUCAAUUCUUUUCUUCUCUUCUUGUCUUAUAAAAAUAAAUUUCUCUCAAAACAUGAAAGAGGCUAUACCGUACUGCGUGCUUUUUGCGACUUCUGGAUUUCAUACAGCUUACUUGUUCACCGAGCUAGAACAAACGUCGCAUAAUCACCAUCCCCUAUUUGAAAAUUUACGAUUAUGACAGCAUGCGGUGAGGUGCACGCGGCAUGUGUGGGCCCAAGCCAAGCAUGCAACUGGCAUUCUGAUACUCUAUGCACGUGCAUGCUGCCUGCGCCCAUGCCGUGCAGCCAGCAUUGUCAUGACGUAGUUUUUGGGAUGUUUGGUGUUUUGGGAAAUUUUGAGCAAAUUCUGGAUGUUCGAGCAUGCGGAUGUUCUAUGCAAUGCAACCAGCAGCCCAUAUGUUCUAUGUUCUCUUUACGGUCGUAUGUGCACAUUUGGUUAACUCUACUACUAAUGGGAAAGUUGACGAGCCUAUGCUGAAUUCAUCAGGAAAGGUGUACUUUGUUGAGCCCAUUGAGGAGAAGGAUACCUUCUUUUUUCGAAGAGGUGUUUCAAUGCCUAGGCCGUCUUUUGACAAUGAGGUGUUAAUAUUACCUAGACUUCAUGCUAAGAACGGGUUGUGAAUUUAUAAUCAAGAAUGCAGUUCGAGUAUCAUGUCUUUCAAAUGAUUUCCAACAGCUUGAAUGUUUCUAUAAGACAAGAAUUUAUGCUUAACUGUUUUAGAAAGCAUGUUUUAUAAAAAUUGUCACUCACUAAGUCUUUCGACUUAUCCUUUCAAAUCAUUUCUCACUUUUCAGGUAUGGAUUAUGCAUUCCCUAAUGUUAAGCGUAUUGCUGCUGAGCCAACCAGUUACUAGAAAUUGUUAAGUCAUUUUGAAAGUUAGUUUUGACUUUGUAAGAAAAGUUCAGGAUGAGCAUGUCUAUGUUUAUUGUUAAAGUUCCAAUGUUAUAAGUUAGUUUAGUAAAAAGGUCACUGUCAUGUUUAAAGCUUCUGCUGAUGUAUCACAAUAGUUGUAACUAGUGGUUUAAGUUAUUAGUAAAAGCAUGUAGCUUGUAUCGCUGUUUGUUUUGAGCAUGCAUUCAUGUUGUAACUGGUAGUUAAGUUAGAAAGGUUAGUCGGUUGGUAAGUUUUGCCAAGGUAUGGCAAUCCUUGCCAACCCUCGCACCUUCUUUCAGAGCUAGAUGUUGUUCAGAAAAUAAGGAGCUUUGGGAGGGGGUGGUGACAACAACACCAUCCCACUAGAGUACGCAAUGAUGCAUUAUUGUUUAAUUAAGUCAUAUAUACUUCCACAAUUUGGAUAGGAAUUUAACUCAUUAGAAGGUGUCCUAUAGAAUUUCUCAGUGAAAAGUUCAGAGAAGCUACAAACAAAUGUCACUACCGAACAACAAUCAUAUACAUGGGUUAGGGCUUUGAGCAGUGUGAACACAACUUAAUAAUAAAUAUGAAGUCGUCCUCUUUUCAUCAUUAGUCAGAAGAAUUCUUAAACUUUCUAAAAAUAAUUGUCAAAUAAUUGAUUAUAUAGUAUGCCAUUUAUUUGGAAUACAAUUUUUUCAUUACCAGGAAAGGAGACUUCUCACUAAGUAAAUGUAAAGAGACUAAUGCUAUAAUUUGAAUUGGAAAAUAUAAUUUCAUAAUUAAGCAUCGAAUAGGGACUAGUUAAGAAGUACACACUUUAGUUUGCCAGAGUCCAUGUUCUACACAUGUUAGCCACUCUGUCAUUGGUUUAGCAGUAAAACAAAGGAUGUGUUUAGGAUGUGAGCCACACAAAAGGGAAAGAAAACAGAAGGCGCAGUGAGCCACACAAAAGGGAUCGAAACGAAUGUUCAGAAAUAUCGGAAGGAUCGAAGAAAUAUGGAAGGAAAGACGAGGAAAAAACAACAGACCGGAGCAAGUUCAAGAAGGUAGAGAUCCCGAUCUUCAAUGGAAUAGACCCCGAUUCAUGGUUAUUUCGCGCCGAUCGUUAUUUCAAGAUACACAAGUUGACUGACUCAGAGAAGUUAAUGGUAGCGGUAAUCAGUUAUUAGGACCAGCUUUGGAUUGGUAUAGAUCAAUUGAUGAAUUGGAACAAUUCAAGAGUUGGGAAGAUUUGAAGCAAAGGUUGUUGUCCGAUUUCAGACGAUUCGGGAUGGAACACUCGUAGGCAGAUUCUUAAGGAUUAAGCAGGAAACGACAGUAGGGGAAUAUAGAAACAGUUUCGAUAAAUAUUUAGCUCCGGUAGCCUUCCUCCAGACCAUAGUAUUAGAAGAAACCUUUAUGAAUGGGCUAAGCCCAUGGCAUAAAUCCGAAGUUGAAACGCUGGAGCCCAUAGGUUUGGCCAAGAUGAUGUAACUAGCCCUGAAAUUGAAAAUAGAGAGAUGGUUCGUCGAGAAUGUGGGCUUAGUAGUGUUUCGGGAAUGAAUCAACAAUUCAAGCAUAAUAACGUAAAGCAAACCUCGACAGUAACACCCAAUCAGAAACCCACGGAAGGGAGCUGGCCAAUGAGAACGAUUACGUUAAAAAGAGUGACGGCAGAUGAAAAGAGGAGGGAAGGUCCGACCAAGCGUCUUUCCAACGCUGAAUUUCAAGCACGGAGGGAAAACGGUCUGUGUUUUCAGUGUGAGGAGAAGUAUCACGCUGGACAUAGGCGUAAGGUGAAGGAACAGAAGGAAUUACGGAUGUUAGUAGUAAAGGAAAUGGGAGAAGAACUGGAAAUCAUUGAGGAUGAACACUUUGAUGUGGAAACGGAGGCCCAGACCAUUGAAAUUGAAAAAGUGGAGAAUAUGAAUAUAGAGCUGUCCAUUAACUCAAUUGUGGGGUUAUCCAACCCUGGAACCAUGAAACUGAAAGGGAAGAUAAAAGAGACCAAAGUGGUAAUAAUCAUCGACAGUGGAGCCACCCACAGUUUUAUUGCAAAAAAUUUUGUAACCACCCUUAGCCUACCAAUGACAGAAACGUCCAACUAUGGAGUGAUUUUGGGAUCAGGGGUUGCGGUCAAAGGAAAAGGAAUCCGCAGUAAUGUUGAAGUGACGGUAGGAGAGUGGAAAAUUACAAACAACUUUUUACCCUUGGAAUUAGGGGUGGUUGCACUCAUUGGGCAUGACUGAAUUUGAUAUGAAAAAUUUGGUGAUGACAUUCCGACAUGGAGGAAGGAAGAUAGAGAUAAAGGGGGACCCUAGUGUCACCAAAACCCAAGUGAGCCUAAAGUCUAUAAUUAAGACAUGGGGAGCUGAUAAUCACGGUUAUUUGGUAGAAUGUCGGGCCAUGGAGGGAAGGCUAGCUGAGGAAGGCUUAGAGGAUGAAGAAGUGCCAGCCACUGUUGACAACAUGAUCUCUCCUCUGUUGAGCAAAUUUAAUGAUGUUUUUGAUUGGUUGGAAGAGCUGCCUUCGAAGAGGAACAUUGAGCACCAUAUACCCCUUCAGAAGGGGGUGGAUCCAGUUAAUGUCAGACCUUAUCGUUACGCACAUCGGCAAAAGGAGGAAAUUGAAAGACUAGUUGAUGAAAUGUUGAAGACAGGCAUCAUAUGACCGGGUACCAGUCUGUAUUCCAGCCCAGUCCUUCUCGUGAAAAAGAAAGAUGAUAGCUGGCAAUUUUGUGUAGAUUAUCGGGAGUUGAACAAUGUCACUAUCCCAGAUAAGUUCCCAAUUCCGGUCAUAGAUGAGUUAUUCAAUGAGCUGAAUGGGGCCAACAUGUUUUCGAAGAUUUAUUUAAAGGCGGGUUAUCACCAAAUCAGGAUGCAUCUGAGAGGUGUAGAGAAGACGGCCUUUCGAACACAAUGAGGGACACUAUGAGAUUCUUGGUCAUGCCCGUUUGAGCUAACCAAUGCCCCCUCUACGUUCCAAGCAUUAAUGAACCACAUCUUUAAGCCUUAUAUGAGAAAGAUUCGUAUUAGUGUUUUUCGAUGACAUUUUGGUGUACAACAGGGGAGUAGAAGAACAUGGACAGCAUCUGGAAGUAGUCUUGGAGAUCCUUCGAGAGAAUGAAUUGUAUGUGAAUUUAGCCAAAUGUUGCUUUGCCAAAAGUAGAAUAGGUUAUUUGGGGCAUUUCAUAUCCGAAAAGGGAGCUAAAGUUGAUCCAGAAAAAAUAAGGGCAAUUAGGGGAAUGGUCGAUUCCCACUAGUGUGCGAGAAGUUCGAGGUUUCUUAGGACUCAAUUGAUACUAUAGGAAGUUUGGGCAGAAUUAUGGCAGUAUCGAAAGCCCUUUGACACAGCUUUUGAAGACAGGAACUCAUUGUUGGACUGAAGAAGCAAGUGCUGCCUUUGAGAAGUUGAAGAUGGCAAUGAUGAUUCUACCGACGUUAGCUAUGCUGGACUUUAAUCUACCACUCGAGAUAGAAACAUAUGUAUCUUGUUUUGGUGUGGGGCCGUUUUAGUACAAGCCAAGAGACAAAUAUCCUUCUUUAGUAAAACCUUAUGCAUGUGGGAUAGAGCGCGACUGGUUUAUGAAAGAGAAUUGAUAAUAGUAGUGUUUGCGGUGCAAAGGUGGAGACCAUAUUUGUUAGGGAAGAAAUUUACAGUGAAAACUGAUCAGAAGUCGCUCAAAUUUCGGCUAGAACAAAGGGUGAUUCAACCCUAAUACCAAAAAUGGAUAGCCAAUCUUUUGGGAUAUUCAUUUGAGGUAGUCUGCAAUCCUGGAUUGGAGAAUAAGGCAGCCGAUGCUCUAUCUAGAACACCCCGUAUAGUGCACUUAAAUCAAAUAUCAGCCCCAACACUACUCGAUUUAGUGGUGAGUCAAGAAGAGGAAAAGAGGGAUCAAUACCUACAGGAAAUCCAGAAGAAAAUAGAAAGAACAAAAAGUGAAAGUUCCAAACUUUUCAGUACAGCAAGGGGUAUUGAAAUACAAAGGAAGGUUGGUGCUGUCAAAAACAUCCGUUCUACUACCCACUAUCAUGCAUACCUAUCAUGAUUUUGUCUUUGGAGGACAUUCAGGGUUCCUAAGAACGUACAAGAGGAUGACCGGAGAGAUUUACUAGGAAGGAAUGAAGAAAAACAUAAAGAAAUACUAUGAAGAAUGUCUUGUAUGCCAAAGGAAUAAAACACUUGCAUUAUUACCUGCUGGAUUGCUGCUGCGCACUUGAGAUUCCUAACACAGUGUGGUCGGAUAUUUCCAUGGAUUUUAUAGAUGGACUUCCAAAAUCAGCUGGAAAAGAAGUGAUUUUUGUGGUUGUAGAUUGUCUGAGUAAGUAUGCACAUUUUACAGCUAUAAAUCAUUCUUACAUGGCCAGCUUCGUAGCAGAAGUUUUUGUUAAAGAAGUGGUGAGAUUGCACGGUAGCAUGUAUCCGCAGUAAGUUGUAUCGGAUCAAGACAAAAUCUUUAUUAGUCAUUUCUGGAAGGAAAUGUUCAAGUUAGUGGGAACUAAAAUAAAUAGAAGGAAAUGUUCAGGUUAGUGGGAACUAUGCCCAUAUACACCAAGUUCGAAUAUAGAACUUGCUUCUUACUGAAAAAAUAAUGAUUAUGGGACUUGCUAUAAGGGUAUCCAAUACUCGAAGUAAAUGAAUGAUUACAAAAUGAUUGUUUCCUCAGUUUGAAGAAGAACAACAAAAAAGAAAAGAAGGAUAAAAAUAAAAAAAAAAACAAACUUUCUUUUUGAAAUUCUAAAAGAAUCCAAAAAGACUUCAAAAGGUGCAACCAAGAAAGGAGGUCAAAGAAGGGCUCUGAUAGACCCCCCUAUCAUACGUCAAUAUAGUCAAAAAAAAAAAGAGAGAGAUCACAAGGGAACACACAUGCGAAGAAGAAAAGAUUUAAAGGAUUGUUAGAAGAAAAGAUUUAAAAAGCUUGUUGGGCGUCGGUUAGAUUUGAGGAGAUUUAGGAGGGUCGUUAGGUGUUGAUUAGAAUAAAUAAGGAUAGGGAGGAAAGAGGAGGGUAUGCUGAGUUUAGAAGAAAAUUGACUCAUGCUCUUCCUUGAGCGAUAGGAUAGCAGAGAGGGAAUUAGAUUGUUUUUCGAAUUGAGUCCUCCUCAAUUUGAGUGUUCUGAUAUUUUGAUUUUCCUUGUAACUCAUUCUUUGAUUGAAGCAAUAAAAGUUCUAAUUGGAUUUCCAAAAGAGUUCUAUCAAAUUGGUAUCAGAGACAGUUUUUUCUGACCAAGAGGAAAAUGAUGGUCCAAACACGAAUGAAGGAGAGAAUGGAGGCGCACGACCAGGAGAUGCAUUUGAUGAGAAGCGAGAUAAGCAAAAUUUCGACAAUGAAAGAAAUAUUAGCCACGAUCAGCGUACAGACAAAGAAGACUCACAAAAUGUUGAUAAUGUUCAUGGAAUCGAUUACCAGAGAGCAUAUCGUUAUGAGUGAGAAAAUGGCCGAGUCGAGUGUGCGAGAGACAGUAUCAACAAUAACGAAUAAGAAGGAAGGCUCGAUCGAAAAGGACCAUGAGCACGAAACAAAGGAUGGAAAGAUAGAAGGAGAAGACGGAGCGAACGAGCAUAAUAAGUUCAAGAAGGUUGAGAUGCCAGUUUUCAACACGGAAGAUCCCAAUUUUUGACCCUUUCGAGCAGAUAGAUAUUUUCAGAUACACAAAUUGACUGAUGCUGAGAAGGUCCUGGUUGCGACCAUUAGUUUUGAAGGCCCGACGCUGAACUAGUAUAGGGCGCAAGAAGAACACGACAAGUUUACCAGUUGGUCGAACCUCAAGGAGAGAAUACUCAUCCGUUUUCAAUCAGCAAAAGAGGGGUCCAUAUGCGGACAAUUUUUUAGGAUCGGAUAACAGACGACAGUAGAAGAAUAUCGAAACCAGUUAUAUAAGCUGAUGGAACCGUUAUCCGAUCUACAAGACAGAGUGGUGGAGGAAACAUUCAUGAACGGUUUACUGCCGUGGAUUAAAGCAGAAGUGGAUUUUUGUCGUCCGGUCGACGUGGCUCAAAUGGUGCACGCGGCUCAACUCGUAGAAAAUCGAGAGAUAAUUCACAAUGAGGCCAACCUUAAGGGGUACGCCCAAGGAAAAUAUCCGCCUCAAGGUUCUAGGCAAAAUACGAGUGCUGCGACGGUGAACGAUAGCGACAAUAAGAGAAAUACAUUAUUUUCGAUGAGAACGAUUACUCUGAGAACGACAUCCAGAGAAGUUAAGAGAGGGGCAGGCAAAGCGAUUGUUAGACGCGGAGUUUCAAGUCAGGAAGGAAAAAGGACAUUGUUUCCGUUGUAAUGAGAUAUAUUAUCAUGAUCAUCGAUGCAAAAACAGAGGGCAAAGAGAGUUGAGAAUGUACGUGGUCAGGGCGAAUGAUGAAGAAUUUGAAAUCAUAGAAGAAGUGGGAGAAAAUGAAUUGUUUGGAAAUCACAUAAGAAGAUCAUGUUGUCAUCGAACUGUCAAUUAAUUCGGUGGUGGGGCUGAACAAUCCGAGGACAAUGAAGGUGAGGGGGAAUAUCAGUGAGCGAGAAGUUUUCAUUUUCAUUGAUUGUGGAGCAACGCACAACUUCAUCUCCGAAAAGAUAGUAAAGGAGUUACAACUGGCCACGAAGGCAACGUCGCACUAUGGUGUAAUCUUGGGCUCGGGGGAGGCGAUAAAAGGUAAAGGAGUAUGUGAGGACGUGGAAAUCAAGUUGAACGGGUGGAAGGUGGUGGAAAAUUUGUUACCCUUAGAAUUGAGAGGGGUAGAUGUUGUGUUAGGAAUGCAGUAGUUGUAUUCAUUGGGCAUGACGGAAGUAGAUUGGAGGAACCUCACAAUGACUUUUGUGCAACAAGGAGAAAAGGUAGUGAUAAGAGGAGACCCAAGUUUGACCAAAUCCAGAGUGAGUCUCAAGAACAUGAUCAAAAGGUGGAAGGAUUCGUGAUCGAGUGCCGAGCAAUGGAGAGAGUCUUUGAGCCACAGGAAGAUAACGGGAUUGAAGAAGUAUUAACUACUGAUGAAGCAGUAUCGGUCGUGUUGAAGAAUUUUGAAGAUGUUUCUAAUUGGCCGAAGACACUACCCCCGCAAAGAAAUAUUGAACAUCACAUUCAUUUGAAACAGGGCACUGAUCUGGUAAAUGUUCGACCCUAUAGAUACGCUUAUCAACAGAAAGCUGAGAUGGACAAACUUGUGGAUGAGAUGUUGACAGCUGGAAUUAUCCGUCCCAGCAACAGUCCAUAUCUAGUCCAGUUCUAUUGGUAAUGAAAAAAGAUGGCAGCUGGCGUUUUUGCGUAGACUACCAAGCGCUGAACAAUGUAACCAUUCCAGACAAAUUCCCUAUUCCGGUGGUUAAGGAGCUUUUCGAUGAAUUAAAUGAAGCAAACUGGUUUUCAAAGAUUGAUUUGAAGGUGGGGUACCAUCAGAUCAAAAUGUGUGGAGAAGACAUCGAAAAAGCAGCAUUCCGAACACAUGAUGGACACUAUGAAUUUAUGGUUAUGCCAUUCGGCUUAACUAAUGCCACAUCCACUUUCCAAGCUCUGAUGAACUCAACAUUCAAACCAUUUUUGCAGAAGUUCAUAUUAGUGUUUUUCGACGACAUACUAAUCUACAGUGAGAACUUGGAACACCAUUUGAAGCACAUUGGGUUAGCAUUGGAAAUCCUGAGAAAGAAUGAGUUAUAUGCAAACAAGAAGAAGUGCAGCUUCGCACAAGAACGUAUUGAUUAUUUGGGUCAUAUCAUUUCAAGACAAGGAGUUGAAGUGGACCUUGAGAAAAUCAGAGCAAUCACGGAAUGGCCUAUACCCAGUAAUAUAAGAGAGGUACGGGGAUUCCUAGGCCUCACCUGUAACUAAAGAAAGUUCGUUCAGCACUAUGGCUCCAUUGCCGCACCAUUGAUUCAACUACUUAGGAAAGGGGGAUUCCAGUGGACUGAGGAGUCUAAGGAGGCAUUCCAACAACUACAAAAUGCGAUGAUGACCCUGCCCGUUUUGGCGUUGAAAAAAUUUCAAUGCCACAUUUGAAAUGGAAACCGAUGCAUCGGGAUAUGGGGUAGGAGUCGUACUCGUCCAAGCCAAGCGUCCCAUAGCAUACUUUAGUCAUACGUUAGCCUCAAGAGAUAGAGCCAAGCCUGUACAUAAAAGGGAAUUAAUGGCAGUGGUCUUGCAUGUGCAACGAUGGCGACCAUAUCUGUUGGGGAGAAAAUUUAUUGUGAAGACCGAUCAGAAAUCCUUGAAGUUCUUGUUAGAACAAAGAGUGAUACAGCUUCAGUAUCAGAAAUGGGUAGCGAAGCUAACGGGAUACUCAUUUGAGGUGGUCUACAAACUCAGCUUGGAGAAUAAAGCAGUAGACGCCUUGUCUUGGAUGCCUCCUACAAUUAACCUCGGUAGCAUAACAGCUCCUACAUUGGUUGACAUUCUGGUGACUAAAAAGGAAGUCAAAGCGUAUGAAAAAUUAAGCAAAAUAAUGGAAGAACUACAAGCAAUGGAAGAAGUAACAGAGGGUAAAUUCUCCAUCCGACAAGGUAUGUUAAGAUAUAAGGAUAAGUUUGUGUUGUCCAAAACAUCUACAUUGAUACCCACAAUCCUACAUACUUACCAUGAUUUGGUACUUGUGAGGAAUGUGUAAUAUGUCAGAAGAACAAGUCCCUAGUGUAACGAGCAUACUUGUCCAAGGUGUGUUUACCUAUGGCCGUAUGCUCCGAUUAGCCCCAAUUUACCUUGUCUUUAUGUCUUGCACGUAGCUUAGGUAGUUGCUUUCAAUUUCAAGUCGAUAUGCUUGGGUGUGACGUUUCGGCAUUUUCAUAUGUUAAAAAUGUACUAUAGGGGAGGCAUACCUGUUGAAUCCCUGCCCAAGCCUUGUCGUACUCUUUGCAGUCUAUGCUUUCUUAUUGCAAUUGACAGUCUUCAAUGCUUGUUUUAACAACGUUUUCAAUCAAUUUAAUCAUCUUUCAUGUUUUCUAAAACUAUUUUUCCAAGAACGUGAGGGGAGGUUGAAGUAUGUGUUAAAGUUGUCUGCGAUUUGCAGAUUUUGAUCGGCUGACUUGUUCGCCGAGCUAGAACAAGUGCCGCACAAUCGUUCACAUCGUGUUUGAAGGGUUACACAGUAAAGGAAGAGUAAGAAUUUGAGUGGAGAAACUCCAAUUGGGAUCAACACGUGGGCAACAACAUGGCUUCUCACCAACAUGAGAACUCAAAAGAGACAGCAGAUAUUCUAGAGAAGCCAAUGAACUCUUGGGAUGUGAAUCUGCACUUUCCUGCAAUAGUUUGAGUGUGAAUUAGUUCUCUGAAAACACCUGCAGAGGAUAAUCCACGGCAAAACAGAAUAACUAUAAAAAAACCACUUGCAAGUAGAAGAAAAAGGAAGUACAUUUAUACCUUCCCUGUCAAAGUGAUAUCCCUCAUCAACGGAUAUGCAUUUCUUUCCAGGAAGUAGCCAACAAUUUUACAAACCCAUGGGAGUUUAGGUUGUAAUAAGAAAACAAUUGUGUCCAACAAUAGAGUUGCAGGUGUGUUAGAGUUCACAGGUGCAGCCAAAAGUUGAUUCCUCAAUUGGUUUCUAUCAAGAACAACAUCAAGUAAGAAUAAUUCGGAGGAAAAAUAAAGGCAACUUAUCAUAUAUAUAAAUAUGAUUAGUCUGAAUUCGUUUGCGGAAGGUAAAAAAACCUUUAUGUCAAUUAUAUAUAUCUGAACAAAAUCUAAGAAAUAUAUCACUUUUCAACAAAAGAAAUAUAUCAUAUACAAUUAAAGGAUCAUAGCAUAGAAAGCCAACAAAAUCAACAAUGAUAGAUCAAACAUCUGUUUUUCCAUUCAAAACGUUAAAAAGGAUAAGUUUUUAAUAAGGAAUGUUGAAAUGGAAAAAACUAAUUACCUAUUAUGGUGUACAAUCUGGAUGCAAGCAUAUGCAAAUUUCUUAACUCUGUAAUCCACUAAGGCCUUGUUAAGUACAUAAUCCUUGCUAGCGAAAAUGCUCAACAUAUCCCCUAUAUAUGUAAGAGAGAGAAAGGUUAGAAAGUACUAACACUAAGAGAUAUGUGCUAUCAAUUAGAAACACUUUAAGAUGACAUUAUCAAUUAGAAAACCAAGUAUUAAGCAACAUAAGGGAAAAUAACAAACAAGGGCACCACAGUGGUUCAGAAACCAAUCAAUAUUUCCAUUUGUCACUUUUAUAAUAAUUUCCCAAGGGAAAAUCCUCAUAAUAAGCUUGAGUACCACCUAAUAACGUGUUCAAAUGUUACCAUAAGCAAAAAUGAGUGAUCCUAAAAUUCAUAUGACAAGGAAAGUCGUCAACUAGCAACCGCCAAAUAACAGUUAUAUGGCUAGAAUUAGUUUUCUCCAACUUCAAGAAAAUAAAACAUAUUAAAACAAAAGGAAUUAUGGUGCAAAAUAAUGAAUAUGCCUGCAAAGGUAAGAAGUUUCUGAAGGUAAAAAUGGUCAAUAAAAAACAACAUAUAAUUUGACGUAAAUCAAAGUAGAAUUAUUUCUCGCAAUGAAUUCUCUGCCAAUAAUGGCUAAGAGAAGGGGUAUUUAUUGAGAAUUAGUUGGCCAGGCAGAAAUCAUCUAGGGCAUAGUAUUGUUUUAGGUCUGCGACAUUAAAAACAUAAUGAAUGUGUAAGUCUGGUGGUAGUUCUAUUUUGUAAGCAUUAUCUCCGAUCCUCUUUAGGACACGGAAUGGUCCUAAUUGUCUGUCUUUUAGUUUGUUGUAUGUUUCGGUUGGAAAUCGAUUUUUUCUUAGGUGAAUCAUUACUAAAUCUCCCUUGGUAAAGGUAGUUUGUCUUCUUUUUCUGUCUGUUGCGUCUUUGUAGGACUGAGUUGUUUCUUUUAGGUGAUUGUGGACUUCUUCGUGUAAAUUCUGGAUUUUUUCUAUCAUCUUUUCUGCCUCUGAUAGUUAGGGAACUCAACACAUU